Molecule: non-coding RNA, 154 nt
Filed under: Solirubrobacterales bacterium
Lineage: Bacteria; Bacillati; Actinomycetota; Thermoleophilia; Solirubrobacterales
Description: 6S / SsrS RNA
Rfam family: 6S / SsrS RNA
About the family: E. coli 6S RNA was the first non coding RNA to be sequenced, but its function was unknown until recently.
Source: Rfam by way of RNAcentral
CAGGCUCGAGCUUGUACGCGAGCCGCCCAUAUCGUGAACCAACACAUACGCCUUGGGAGUCAUCGUCCGGUAGCGCUCUGCGAGUAGCGCCGGCAGACACCCACCUGUUUUCUCAGGUUCGCAGGCGGGGCGGUAACGGCAAGCUGGAGCCGCU